Molecule: ribosomal RNA, 116 nt
Filed under: Oenococcus oeni
Lineage: Bacteria; Bacillati; Bacillota; Bacilli; Lactobacillales; Lactobacillaceae
Source: RNAcentral
CGCUCUGUUUUUGCUCGCCGGUCACACCUGUUCCCAUUCCGAACACAGAAGUUAAGCUUGUCAGGGCCCAAAGUAGUUACAGGAACGCCUGUUGCAAGGUUAGGUCGAUGCGAUGC